AUGCCCACUUUGGGGAAUCAGCAACUAUAGCAGUUACCAUGCAAUGCAACCCUGUGGGGCUGGGGGAAUAGGUAUUACCCGUCCACCUCCAUUCCUGUUUGUAAACUAAUCUGCGAUAUCAACGGAUGGUAAGAUGGUUUGUUUCAAACUUUUGAUGAUAAAAUAUGAUAUUCCCACUGAUUCCCAAUAAUUAAACUCUUGUACAAGAAUUCACAUGCUUUUCCAAAUCCAUUGUUUCCUAUUUUCCUAUGUUUCUUUACUUCCACUUAUUUCACAUUUGAUUCUUUUAGCAGUUGUGCCUUGCAUAAACUAAACUGACUGUUGAUUCGUAUUCAUAUUCUAUGCACAAAGAGAGAGAGAGAGAGAGAGAGAGAGAGGGAGGGAAAAACAAAAGAAAAAAAAAGGGAAUUUGCAGGAUCUUUUAAUUUAUUCAGUGGCAAUUGAUAUUAUAAAACCUACUGUCUAUCGAUGGAGUGCAAAGUGGGCUGUGGUCAAAUUCGAGCGUUGCUGCAUGGCAGAAUAGAUCUUGCAAGACAUCGGAGGGCCCUGCUUAUUGAGACAAUUCAUGGAUGGCGAAUGCUUUCUUGCAAAGGCCCGUCUGCGACUCCCGAACACAAGCUUGCUGCAAGUCCUGAUGCUGCAGCAUGAUCUAGGCCGUCCAUCAGGCAGGCCACACAGUGAGUGAAUGUCCUUUUAGCCCAAAGAUCAGACCUGUUGCUUGUAUGUCGAUACUGCCCAUAUAUGUUGAUUGUGGCCCCCUCCCCCAAAGAUUGGACUGGCCUGAUACUGGGCCAGGUCUGGUCCACCCUGGCUUCCUACACCGUGAAUGGCUCUGAUCUCGCAGGCUUGUGUGAUGUUGGCAUGUGUAGGGUGUAUCCAUCUGAUGCUCGCAGGUGUGCCCUUGCAAGCAGAGCAUUCCUCUCUUUCUGGAUUGUUGUACAUCUCUCAUUAUAAUGUCCAAUGAGAUAUGUCUGCAAUGAGAGAUGCACACCGCAUGUACAAUGUUUGCAGGUGUACUGCAGUGGGCCCCAUCCGUAAUGGCCAAUUUGCAUUUACCAGCAACCUGGUAUGUAAGAGAUUUUAAUAUAUUUACUGGCCAUUGAAUGGAUAGGCAGAUUCAUUGAA
Molecule: long non-coding RNA, 1125 nt
Organism: Magnolia sinica
Lineage: Eukaryota; Viridiplantae; Streptophyta; Magnoliopsida; Magnoliales; Magnoliaceae
Exons: 2
Source: RefSeq, a predicted model, not a curated record